GACGAACGCUGGCGGCGUGCCUAAUACAUGCAAGUUGAGCGCUGAAGGUUGGUCCUUGUACCAACUGGAUGAGCAGCGAACGGGUGAGUAACGCGUGGGGAAUCUGCCUUUGAGCGGGGGACAACAUUUGGAAACGAAUGCUAAUACCGCAUAAAAACUUUAAACACAAGUUUUAAGUUUGAAAGAUGCAAUUGCAUCACUCAAAGAUGAUCCCGCGUUGUAUUAGCUAGUUGGUGAGGUAAAGGCUCACCAAGGCGAUGAUACAUAGCCGACCUGAGAGGGUGAUCGGCCACAUUGGGACUGAGACACGGCCCAAACUCCUGCGGGAGGCAGCAGUAGGGAAUCUUCGGCAAUGGACGAAAGUCUGAACGAGCAACGCCGCGUGAGUGAAGGAGGUUUUCGGAUCGUAAAACUCUGUUGGUAGAGAAGAACGUUGGUGAGAGUGGAAAGCUCAUCAAGUGACGGUAACUACAGAGAAAGGGACGGCUAACUACGUG
This 497-nucleotide ribosomal RNA is filed under the name uncultured bacterium. RNAcentral's name for it is "partial 16S ribosomal RNA". It matches the Rfam family "Bacterial small subunit ribosomal RNA", at positions 28 to 507 of the family's 1533-position model. The record is from RNAcentral.